GACGAACGCUGGCGGCGUGCUUAACACAUGCAAGUCGAACGGAAAGGCCCUGCUUUUGUGGGGUGCUCGAGUGGCGAACGGGUGAGUAACACGUGAGUAACCUGCCCUUGACUUUGGGAUAACUUCAGGAAACUGGGGCUAAUACCGGAUAGGAGCUCCUGAUGCAUGGUGGGGGUUGGAAAGUUUCGGCGGUUGGGGAUGGACUCGCGGCUUAUCAGCUUGUUGGUGGGGUAGUGGCUUACCAAGGCUUUGACGGGUAGCCGGCCUGAGAGGGUGACCGGCGACAUGGGGACUGAGAUACGGCCCAGACGCCUACGUGAGGCAGCAGUGGGGAAUAUUGCACAAUGGGCGGAAGCCUGAUGCGGCAACGCCGCGUGCGGGAUGACGGCCUUCGGGUUGUAAACCGCUUUCGCCUGUGACGAAGCGUGAGUGACGGUAAUGAGUAAAGAAGCACCGGCUAACUACGUG
Molecule: ribosomal RNA, 468 nt
Filed under: uncultured bacterium
Lineage: Bacteria
Description: partial 16S ribosomal RNA
Rfam family: Bacterial small subunit ribosomal RNA
Source: RNAcentral